RNAcentral lists this ribosomal RNA (939 nucleotides) under uncultured bacterium. Its description in RNAcentral is "bacterial SSU rRNA". It matches the Rfam family "Bacterial small subunit ribosomal RNA", at positions 1 to 924 of the family's 1533-position model. The record is from RNAcentral.
GCCCUUAGAGUUUGAUCCUGGCUCAGAACGAACGCUGGCGGCGUGCUUAACACAUGCAAGUCCGACGUGAAAGGGGAGCAAUCCCCCGGUAGGGUGGCGAACGGGUGAGUAAGACAUGGGAAUCUGUCCUUGAGAUGGGGAUAUCCUUCCGAAAGGAGGGUUAAUACCGAAUACCGUCCGGUGGAUGAGAGUUCAUCGGGGAAAGGGAGGCCUCUGGCAACAUGCUUCCGCUCAAGGAGGAGCCCAUGGCCCAUCAGCUAGUUGGGAGGGUAACGGCCUACCAAGGCGAAGACGGGUAGCUGGUCUGAGAGGACGAUCAGCCACACUGGCACUGAGACACGGGCCAGACUCCUACGGGAGGCGGCAGUGAGGAAUUUUGCGCAAUGGGGGCAACCCUGACGCAGCAACGCCGCGUGUGGGAAGAAGGCUUUCGGGUUGUAAACCACUUUUGUAAGGGACGAAGUCCUUUCGGCAAAUAACCGAGGGGGAUGACGGUACCUUGCGAAUAAGCCACGGCUAACUCUGUGCCAGCAGCCGCGGUAAGACAGGGGUGGCAAGCGUUGUUCGGAGUAACUGGGCGUAAAGGGUCUGUAGGUGGUUUUUCAAGUCUUUGGUAAAACGCCGUGGCUCAACCAUGGUUUGGCCAAGGAGACUGGGAGACUCGAGGCUGGGAGAGGGAAGCGGAAUUUCUGGUGUAGCGGUGAAAUGCGUAGAGAUCAGAAAGAAGGCCGGUGGCGAAGGCGGCUUCCUGGAACAGACCUGACACUGAGAGACGAAAGCGUGGGGAGCAAACAGGAUUAGAUACCCUGGUAGUCCACGCCCUAAACGAUGGGAACUAAGUGUGGGGAGCAAUCCCCGUGCCGCAGCUAACGCAAUAAGUUCCCCGCCUGGGGAGUACGGCCGCAAGGUUGAAACUCAAAUGAAUUGACGGGGAAGGGC